Molecule: long non-coding RNA, 1508 nt
Filed under: Macaca mulatta (Rhesus monkey)
Lineage: Eukaryota; Metazoa; Chordata; Mammalia; Primates; Cercopithecidae
Description: lncRNA (ENSMMUG00000058627.1)
Source: RNAcentral
GGCCGGGGCGCUUGAUGCUAAUAUGCUCAUACAGUAACUCCUAGGCAAGAUGCUAGUGCUUUAAUAGCAAUUUCAGGGGACAGCGCCUUCCCCCCCUCAAUAAAUUCAAUUAUGGGUGUUAGAUAUUUGGGGACAGUUAUUUAUUUUAAUGUUCCAUAAAUAUCGACAUGCAGCCGUCUGCCUACUCCACCUGCCAUAGCCCUAGAGAUAUGCUUCAUGGCUUUGUUCUGAAGUUCCCUAAUUGAUCUUCCAAACUCAUUCUGGACAUUAAUCUUUUCGAGGAUUGAUGAUCAGGGCUUUAUGUGAGUCUCUUGGAUAUUGCCAUUCAGAGAAACCCUGUACAUUUAGACUGUAGUCUUGAGCUCAGAUUGUUUUCCACAGAUGCCAUUCUGGUGUUAAAGUAAUCCAUGGAAACUAUAUGCAAAAUGCUAAGGCGUCUCCAUUAGGACUGGGGCGUCCAGGGAAUGGAGGACAGAUGGAGACCUGUAUUCACCUAAGCCUGGAAGUGCCAUGAAGGCAAGGACUGUCUCUUAUUUAUCUUUAUACCCUUAACAUCUGAUCCAGUGCCUCAAUAACAUUAUACUCCAGUAAAGGAAAACAAACCAUACACGUAUAUGUAAUAUUUCAAGAAGUGGUAACCACUGUGAAGAAAAGUAAAGAAUACUAAGGGAGAGUUGUGGCAGGAUAUUUUAGAUAGAGAAGGAAUCUUUGAGGGAGUGCCCUUUGGGAGAGCAGAAUAAGAAGUUGUAUUUAGGGAAUUGUUUUUCAGACAUAGGGAAAAAAAUGACACAAGGACCCCAAGGCCAGGAUGUGAUCAGCGUGUUUGAAGGACAGCAAUGAUUUCCUGUGGCUAAAGUGGGAAGAGGGAGGCAGAGUUUUAAAGAUGACAUCAUUGAGAUAUUGGUUUGAAGGUAACUUAUUUUGGUCAUUGAUUAGGCAAGGAAAACAGUAGUUAAAGCCACUUUCAUAUAUAACUAUGAAGGAUUAAAAAAUGUAUUAAAAACAAGUACAAUUGGGUAUCUUGUCACUAAUUUGACUUAGGAACUCUACUUCUUUAAAUCUGUAGGGUUUUUGCAUGGUUUUUUUUCCCCCCUGAAGCUUGGCACUUACCCAAUUCAUAGUUUUCUAAUAAUAAUUUACCUUUUCCACAAACCCACACUACUCACUCUGAGAAUUCAGUUUCCAAAACCUAACCUUUAAAGUUCCUGUUUUCUUCCUUUUUUGUUUUUCUCACCAAUAGCUCUGGACUUCCUUUUAAAGAUGGUGCAGUGGGCCAGGCAUGGUAGCUUAUGCCUGUAACCCCAGCACUUUGGGAGACCAAAGAGGGAGGCUCACUUGAGGUCAGGAGGUCGAGGUUGCAGUGAGCUAUGAUUACACCACCACACUCCAGCCUGGGUAACAGAGCAAGACCCUGUCUCUAAAAACAGUAAUAAUAAUAAUAACAUUAAUAAAAUAAAAUAAAGAUGGUUCACUGAAGGCCUCUGGAUGCAAGCCAACACUCUCCAAAU